AGGUUAAGUUAAUAAGGGCGCACGGUGGAUGCCUUGGCACUAGGAGCCGACGAAGGACGUGACAAACGACGAUAUGCCUUGGGUAGCUGUAAGUAAGCGAUGAUCCAGGGAUUUCCGAAUGGGGGAACCCAACAGGUAAUACCUGUUACCUACAUCUGUUAAGGAUGUGAGGAGGAAGACGCAGUGAACUGAAACAUCUAAGUAGCUGCAGGAAGAGAAAGCAAAAGCGAUUGCCUUAGUAGCGGCGAGCGAAACGGCAGAAGGGCAAACCGAAGAGUUUACUCUUCGGGGUUGUAGGACUGCAAUGUGGACUCAAAGAUUAUAGAAGAAUGAUUUGGGAAGAUCAGCCAAAGAGAGUAAUAGCCUCGUAUUUAAAAUAGUCUUUGUACUUAGCAGUAUCCUGAGUACGGCGGGACACGUGAAAUCCCGUCGGAAUCUGGGAGGACCAUCUCCCAACCCUAAAUACUCCCUAGUGACCGAUAGUGAACCAGUACCGUGAGGGAAAGGUGAAAAGCACCCCGGGAGGGGAGUGAAAUAGAACCUGAAACCGUGUGCCUACAACAAGUUCGAGCCCGUUAAUGGGUGAGAGCGUGCCUUUUGUAGAAUGAACCGGCGAGUUACGUUAUGAUGCGAGGUUAAGUUGAAGAGACGGAGCCGUAGGGAAACCGAGUCUGAAUAGGGCGCCUUAGUAUCAUGACGUAGACCCGAAACCAUGUGACCUACCCAUGAGCAGGUUGAAGGUGCGGUAAGACGCACUGGAGGACCGAACCAGGGCACGUUGAAAAGUGCUUGGAUGACUUGUGGGUAGCGGAGAAAUUCCAAACGAACUUGGAGAUAGCUGGUUCUCUCCGAAAUAGCUUUAGGGCUAGCGUCGACAUUAGAGAUUCUUGGAGGUAGAGCACUGUUUGGGUGAGGGGUCCAUCCCGGAUUACCAAUCUCAGAUAAACUCCGAAUGCCAAUGAAUUAUGGUCGGCAGUCAGACUGCGAGUGCUAAGAUCCGUAGUCGAAAGGGAAACAGCCCAGACCACCAGCUAAGGUCCCAAAAUAAUUGUUAAGUGGAAAAGGAUGUGGGGUUGCACAGACAACUAGGAUGUUAGCUUAGAAGCAGCUAUUCAUUCAAAGAGUGCGUAAUAGCUCACUAGUCGAGUGACCCUGCGCCGAAAAUGUACCGGGGCUAAAACAAUUUACCGAAGCUGUGGAUACCUUUAUAGGUAUGGUAGGAGAGCGUUCUAUGUGUGAUGAAGGUAUACCGUGAGGAGUGCUGGAACGCAUAGAAGUGAGAAUGCCGGUAUGAGUAGCGAAAGACAGGUGAGAAUCCUGUCCACCGUAAGACUAAGGUUUCCAGGGGAAGGCUCGUCCGCCCUGGGUUAGUCGGGACCUAAGGAGAGACCGAAAGGUGUAUCCGAUGGACAACAGGUUGAUAUUCCUGUACUAGAGUAUGUAGUGAUGGAGGGACGCAGUAGGCUAACUAAAGCAGACGAUUGGAAGAGUCUGUCUAAGCAGUGAGGUGUGAAUUGAGUCAAAUGCUUAAUUCUAUAACAUUGAGCUGUGAUGGGGAGCGAAGUUUAGUAGCGAAGUUAGUGACGUCACACUGCCAAGAAAAGCUUCUAGCGUUUAAACAUACUCUACCCGUACCGCAAACCGACACAGGUAGUCGAGGCGAGUAGCCUCAGGUGAGCGAGAGAACUCUCGUUAAGGAACUCGGCAAAAUGACCCCGUAACUUCGGGAGAAGGGGUGCUGACUUAAAGUCAGCCGCAGUGAAUAGGCCCAAGCAACUGUUUAUCAAAAACACAGCUCUCUGCUAAAUCGUAAGAUGAUGUAUAGGGGGUGACGCCUGCCCGGUGCUGGAAGGUUAAGAGGAGUGCUUAGCGUAAGCGAAGGUAUGAAUUGAAGCCCCAGUAAACGGCGGCCGUAACUAUAACGGUCCUAAGGUAGCGAAAUUCCUUGUCGGGUAAGUUCCGACCCGCACGAAAGGCGUAAUGAUUUGGGCACUGUCUCAACGAGAGACUCGGUGAAAUUUUAGUACCUGUGAAGAUGCAGGUUACCCGCGACAGGACGGAAAGACCCCAUGGAGCUUUACUGCAGUUUGAUAUUGAGUGUCUGUACCACAUGUACAGGAUAGGUAGGAGUCUAAGAGAUCGGGACGCCAGUUUCGAAGGAGACGCUGUUGGGAUACUACCCUUGUGUUAUGGCCACUCUAACCCAGAUAGGUGAUCCCUAUCGGAGACAGUGUCUGACGGGCAGUUUGACUGGGGCGGUCGCCUCCUAAAAGGUAACGGAGGCGCCCAAAGGUUCCCUCAGAAUGGUUGGAAAUCAUUCGCAGAGUGUAAAGGUAUAAGGGAGCUUGACUGCGAGAGCUACAACUCGAGCAGGGACGAAAGUCGGGCUUAGUGAUCCGGUGGUUCCGUAUGGAAGGGCCAUCGCUCAACGGAUAAAAGCUACCCUGGGGAUAACAGGCUUAUCUCCCCCAAGAGUUCACAUCGACGGGGAGGUUUGGCACCUCGAUGUCGGCUCGUCGCAUCCUGGGGCUGUAGUCGGUCCCAAGGGUUGGGCUGUUCGCCCAUUAAAGCGGCACGCGAGCUGGGUUCAGAACGUCGUGAGACAGUUCGGUCCCUAUCCGUCGCGGGCGUAGGAAAUUUGAGAGGAUCUGCUCCUAGUACGAGAGGACCAGAGUGGACUUACCGCUGGUGUACCAGUUGUCUUGCCAAAGGCAUCGCUGGGUAGCUAUGUAGGGAAGGGAUAAACGCUGAAAGCAUCUAAGUGUGAAACCCACCUCAAGAUGAGAUUUCCCAUGAUUAUAUAUCAGUAAGAGCCCUGAGAGAUGAUCAGGUAGAUAGGUUAGAAGUGGAAGUGUGGCGACACAUGUAGCGGACUAAUACUAAUAGCUCGAGGACUUAUCCAAA
Molecule: ribosomal RNA, 2904 nt
Filed under: Streptococcus pneumoniae
Lineage: Bacteria; Bacillati; Bacillota; Bacilli; Lactobacillales; Streptococcaceae
Also listed under: 2 other names
Description: bacterial LSU rRNA
Rfam family: Bacterial large subunit ribosomal RNA
Source: RNAcentral